UUGUCUUUGCAGGUCAUUGAUGUUGUUUUCUAUAGUUCAUGAAGAUUUGAUCAAGAGGACUUCCUCACAAGUUUCAAAAAAGAAGAAGGAUCAUGUAGUAUCAGUGUUACUACAUUCAUAACCUAAGGGUGGAGACUCAAGGUUCGAUGAAUGUCUUUAUGAUGAUCUCCAUCGAUCCUCUGUUUUCUUCAGUCAAGAUCGAUGUCACAAGAUAUUGAAUCUAAGGCUAUCAAGCCACUGAGACACCUUCGGAGAAAAUUUAUAGGAGGAUUUAUAUAUAUUGAAGAGAGGAACAGAGAGGUAUUAGGCUAUUAGCAGCAAACUUUAGAAACGACCACGGACUGAGUCGCCUCAUCCCUCAGGAUACUUAAAUAUAACAGUUAUGGAGGAUGAACACAAACUUUAGGAUUUCAAGUAAGGAGUUGUAUUUUCGACGGACUUUUUUACGUUUGGUGUUUAAUUUCCACAAGGUACCAAACCUCCUUUGUUGCUCUUACUCUUUUUAUAUUUGGUUUCUCUAACUGCUUCUUUGGAUCAUUUAACCCUUAAAGUUUAGCUUAUGAUGUUGUAUAACCACUGAUUUCGAAUAAACCUGGGAUGUUGCUUCGUCAUUUCUCUGCUUAGAAGUUUUGAACAAGUUUAGUGUAAAUGUUUUUAAUGGUAAUCUGAAGA
This is a long non-coding RNA of Capsella rubella, 672 nucleotides long. RefSeq lists it as uncharacterized. Lineage: Eukaryota; Viridiplantae; Streptophyta; Magnoliopsida; Brassicales; Brassicaceae. The transcript has 4 exons. The record is from RefSeq and is a predicted model, not a curated record.